Molecule: ribosomal RNA, 274 nt
Filed under: uncultured bacterium
Lineage: Bacteria
Description: partial 16S ribosomal RNA
Rfam family: Bacterial small subunit ribosomal RNA
Source: RNAcentral
CACGUAGGGUGCGAGCGUUGUCCGGAAUUAUUGGGCGUAAAGAGCUCGUAGGCGGUGUGUCGCGUCGGCCGUGAAAACUUGGGGCUUAACUCUGAGCGUGCGGUCGAUACGGGCAUCACUUGAGUUCGGCAGGGGAGACUGGAAUUCCUGGUGUAGCGGUGAAAUGCGCAGAUAUCAGGAGGAACACCGGUGGCGAAGGCGGGUCUCUGGGCCGAUACUGACGCUGAGGAGCGAAAGCAUGGGGAGCGAACAGGAUUAGAAACCCCCGUAGUCC